UUUCCGUAGGUGAACCUGCGGAAGGAUCAUUAAAGUUAUAGUCCCCCGGCCCCUCCGGGCUGGGGUCUUCUAUACCACCCUUUGUUUAUUACACCUUUGUUGCUUUGGCAGGCCUGCCCUCGGGCUGCUGGCUCCGGCCGGCUCGUGCCUGCCAGAGGACCUAAACUCUGUUUGUAUAUGAAGUCUGAGUACUAUAUAAUAGUUAAAACUUUCAACAACGGAUCUCUUGGUCCUG
This 235-nucleotide unclassified non-coding RNA is filed under the name plant metagenome. Its description in RNAcentral is "partial contains small subunit ribosomal RNA, internal transcribed spacer 1, and 5.8S ribosomal RNA". The record is from RNAcentral.